Molecule: ribosomal RNA, 433 nt
Filed under: uncultured bacterium
Lineage: Bacteria
Description: partial 16S ribosomal RNA
Rfam family: Bacterial small subunit ribosomal RNA
Source: RNAcentral
AACGAACGCUGGCGGCAGGCCUAACACAUGCAAGUCGAGCGAGAUCUUCGGGUCUAGCGGCGGACGGGUGAGUAACGCGUGGGAAUAUGCCUCUUGGUACGGAAUAGCCUCGGGAAACUGGGAGUAAUACCGUAUGUGCCCUUUGGGGGAAAGAUUUAUCGCCAAGAGAUUAGCCCGCGUUGGAUUAGGUAGUUGGUGGGGUAAUGGCCUACCAAGCCGACGAUCCAUAGCUGGUUUGAGAGGAUGAUCAGCCACACUGGGACUGAGACACGGCCCAGACUCCUACGGGAGGCAGCAGUGGGGAAUCUUAGACAAUGGGGGCAACCCUGAUCUAGCCAUGCCGCGUGAGUGAAGAAGGCCUUAGGGUUGUAAAGCUCUUUCAGCUGGGAAGAUAAUGACGGUACCAGCAGAAGAAGCCCCGGCUAACUCCGUG